Molecule: ribosomal RNA, 253 nt
Filed under: uncultured bacterium
Lineage: Bacteria
Description: partial 16S ribosomal RNA
Rfam family: Bacterial small subunit ribosomal RNA
Source: RNAcentral
UACGUAGGGGGCAAGCGUUGUCCGGAUUUAUUGGGCGUAAAGAGCGUGUAGGCGGUUUGGUAGGUCCGCUGUGAAAACUCGAGGCUCAACCUCGAGACGCCGGUGGAAACCAUCAGACUAGAGUCCGGAAGAGGAGAGUGGAAUUCCUGGUGUAGCGGUGAAAUGCGCAGAUAUCAGGAGGAACACCGGUGGCGAAGGCGGGUCUCUGGGCCGAUACUGACGCUGAGGAGCGAAAGCGUGGGGAGCGAACAGG